This 293-nucleotide ribosomal RNA is filed under the name uncultured microorganism. RNAcentral describes it as "partial 16S ribosomal RNA". It matches the Rfam family "Bacterial small subunit ribosomal RNA", at positions 505 to 796 of the family's 1533-position model. The record is from RNAcentral.
GUGCCUACAUCCGUGGCAAUACCGCUGGUGUGAGCGUUAAUCGGAUUUAUUGGUGGUACAGCGAGUGUAGGUGGCUCAUUAAGUCACAUGUGAAAUCCCCGGGCUUAACCUGGGAACUGCAUGUGAUACUGGUGGUGCUAGAAUAUGUGAGAGGGAAGUAGAAUUCCAGGUGUAGCGGUGAAAUGCGUAGAGAUCUGGAGGAAUACCGAUGGCGAAGGCAGCUUCCUGGCAUAAUAUUGACACUGAGAUUCGAAAGCGUGGGUAGCAAACAGGAUUAGAUACCCUGGUAGUCC